GUGGAUUAGAUACCCUGGUAGUCCACGCCGUAAACGAUGAUGACUAGCUGUCGGGGCUCAUGGAGUUUCGGUGGCGCAGCUAACGCGUUAAGUCAUCCGCCUGGGGAGUACGGCCGCAAGGUUAAAACUCAAAGAAAUUGACGGGGGCCUGCACAAGCGGUGGAGCAUGUGGUUUAAUUCGAAGCAACGCGCAGAACCUUACCAGCGUUUGACAUGGUAGGACGAUUUCUGGAGACAGAUCUCUUCCCUUACGGGACCUACACACAGGUGCUGCACGGUCGUCGUCAACU
This 290-nucleotide ribosomal RNA is filed under the name uncultured bacterium. RNAcentral describes it as "partial 16S ribosomal RNA". It matches the Rfam family "Bacterial small subunit ribosomal RNA", at positions 773 to 1060 of the family's 1533-position model. The record is from RNAcentral.